GUGGGUACCUCACCCUACCCCCACCCCAAGAAUAGAGAAGGGAGGGGCUAGGAAGAGUGAUCCUGCCUACUCCAGGCUUUUCUACCCUUUAGGAGCCUGACUCAGGUCCCCUAAAAUUCUCAUCCCUACCCUGAGCACCAGCUCUUGAGAUGAUGGACUUUGCUCCUGUAAGGGGAUCUGACCCUUGAGGUUCCCUGCCCUCUGCCUUGAGGACUGAAAGGAAAAGGAAUUCCAGCUUGCAGCAGGUCUCUUUUUAUGCUGUUGGCAACAAUCCCCAGGUGGGUCUUCCAUGCCUGGAGCCACACUGAUACCAUUCAGCUGGGUGUUCCAAAUUGACCAUCAGUCCACCACAGUGUCUCUACCUCUAAACACAUCUGUCUCACAGAGCUGUAAAGGUUGAACAAGGAAGUCUACCAGGAUCAAGCAGUAGGUGAAAAAUGCUGCUGGAUCACAUAAGAUGCCAAAAGAACCACGGCUAAUGGAAGCUUUCUCAAAGACCCCCCAGGACAGUGGCCUGCUCAUGUCUUCUCAUCUUGGGUGGCAUAGACUGCCUGCAGCUGAGGACCCACUGCCACAUCCUCUGCAACAGUGCCUUGUUGGCCAGUGUGUUGAUGACUGACUGAUAGGCGCUUUGUGAGCAUCCCCUGUGAGUACCCUAAGCUGUGGCGAGCAGUGUGGACUGUGAUCCCCUUGUCCUGGUGAAGAAACACACUCGGAGGCUGCACAACUUGAAGGUCAUACAACUCCAAGUGGGAGAGUGAGAGUCACCCUGCUCAGGACAUGGGUAAAGUUCAUGCAUUUUCCUUUAAUGUGGUCUUACUCUGCACAGUGAGUCACCCAGACAGGACACGGGAUCAGCAAUGAAUGGUGACUGGCUUAGGCCAUUCCCUAUGGCAAACUAACGUUUAAAGCUAUCCCCCUACUUGAAAAACCAUCAUUUCAUGAUCACGUCUCUUUCUAGUUCAUCUUUCCGCUUGUGCUUAGUGCCAAAUACCUGAACAAAACUUCCACACCCAUCAUCACACCUGCUCUCCACCCACCCACCUUCUCAACUCCCUGAUCCAUCUUUCACCCACGCCACUCCCCCCAGACAUCUCUUGUUGAAGUGUUUGCGGAUCUCCCUGCUGCUGAAUCCAAAGUCGGAUCCUCAGUUCUUGUCAUGCUCACCCUCCAGGGACCAUGUGACACCACACUCCCUCCCUCCUUGAUACCAUCAGACUUCAGGAUGCCGUCUUUUUUAUGGUACCAGG
This 1250-nucleotide long non-coding RNA is filed under the name Heterocephalus glaber (naked mole-rat). RNAcentral describes it as "lncRNA (ENSHGLG00000049193.1)". The record is from RNAcentral. Lineage: Eukaryota; Metazoa; Chordata; Mammalia; Rodentia; Bathyergidae.